GACGAACGCUGGCGGCGUGCUUAACACAUGCAAGUCGAGCGGAAAGGCCCUUCGGGGUACGUCGAGCGGCGAACGGGUGAGUAACACGUGAGUAACCUGCCCUUGGCUCUGGGAUAGCUCCGGGAAACCGGAAUUAAUACCGGAUAUGACCUCGGCCGACAUCGGCUGUGGUGGAAAGAUUUAUCGGCCAGGGAUGGGCUCGCGGCCUAUCAGCUAGUUGGUGGGGUAACGGCCUACCAAGGCGACGACGGGUAGCCGGCC
RNAcentral lists this ribosomal RNA (261 nucleotides) under uncultured bacterium. RNAcentral's name for it is "partial 16S ribosomal RNA". It matches the Rfam family "Bacterial small subunit ribosomal RNA", at positions 28 to 292 of the family's 1533-position model. The record is from RNAcentral.